AAACUUUCAACAAUGGAUCUCUUGUGUUCCGGCAUCGAUGAAGAACGCAGCGAAAUGCGAUAACUAGUGUGAAUUGCAGAAUUCCGUGAAUCAUCGAGUCUUUGAACGCACAUUGCGCCCCCUGGUAUUCCGGGGGGCAUGCCUGUCCGAGCGUCAUU
This 158-nucleotide ribosomal RNA is filed under the name Aspergillus minisclerotigenes. RNAcentral's name for it is "5.8S ribosomal RNA". It matches the Rfam family "5.8S ribosomal RNA". Rfam says of the family: 5.8S ribosomal RNA (5.8S rRNA) is a component of the large subunit of the eukaryotic ribosome. It is transcribed by RNA polymerase I as part of the 45S precursor that also contains 18S and 28S rRNA. Functionally, it is thought that 5.8S rRNA may be involved in ribosome translocation. Lineage: Eukaryota; Fungi; Ascomycota; Eurotiomycetes; Eurotiales; Aspergillaceae. The record is from RNAcentral.